GACGAACGCUGGCGGUGUGCUUAACACAUGCAAGUCGAACGGUAAGGCCCUUUCGGGGGUACACGAGUGGCGCACGGGUGAGUAACACGUGAGUAACCUGCCCUCAUCUCUGGGAUAACAGUCGGAAACGGUUGCUAAUACUGGAUAUGAGCCUGCAAGGCAUCUUGUGGGUUGGAAAGAUUUUUUGGUUGGGGAUGGACUCGCGGCCUAUCAGCUUGUUGGUGAGGUAGUGGCUCACCAAGGCUUCAACGGGUAGCCGGCCUGAGAGGGCGACCGGCCACAUUGGGACUGAGAUACGGCCCAAACUCCUACGGGAGGCAGCAGUGGGGAAUAUUGCACAAUGGACGGAGGUCUGAUGCAGCAACGCCGCGUGCGGGAUGACGGCCUUCGGGUUGUAAACCGCUUUCAAUUGUGACGAAGCUUUUUGUGACGGUAGCAGUAGAAGAAGCACCGGCUAACUACGUG
Molecule: ribosomal RNA, 465 nt
Filed under: uncultured bacterium
Lineage: Bacteria
Description: partial 16S ribosomal RNA
Rfam family: Bacterial small subunit ribosomal RNA
Source: RNAcentral